This 227-nucleotide non-coding RNA is filed under the name Ligilactobacillus hayakitensis. RNAcentral's name for it is "Lactobacillus hayakitensis T-box sequence". It matches the Rfam family "T-box leader". Rfam says of the family: Uncharged tRNA acts as the effector for transcription antitermination of genes in the T-box leader family. The record is from RNAcentral. Lineage: Bacteria; Bacillati; Bacillota; Bacilli; Lactobacillales; Lactobacillaceae.
UUAAAAACGUUGACGGAAAAAAGUAGAUUAUUAAUUAAUUUCAGAAAAGAAUAUUGUGCUGUGAUUAUUCUAUUAAUUAAUAUUUGAAGUUCACUUCCCGAGUUGCUACUUGGAUCGAGUAUAGAGAAAGGUAGAACGUUUUGCCGCGUUACAGGUAAAUGAGUGUUACUCUCAUUGUUAUAAAUGACGGGUAAAAUAAGGGUGGUACCGCGAACCUCGUCCCUUGA